CCUACGGGAGGCAGCAGUGGGGAAUAUUGCACAAUGGGCGCAAGCCUGAUGCAGCCAUGCCGCGUGUGUGAAGAAGGCCUUCGGGUUGUAAAGCACUUUCAGCGGGGAGGAAGGCGGUGAGGUUAAUAACCUCAUCGAUUGACGUUACCCGCAGAAGAAGCACCGGCUAACUCCGUGCCAGCAGCCGCGGUAAUACGGAGGGUGCAAGCGUUAAUCGGAAUUACUGGGCGUAAAGCGCACGCAGGCGGUCUGUCAAGUCGGAUGUGAAAUCCCCGGGCUCAACCGGGGAACUGCAUUCGAAAACGGGCGGGUUAGGGUUUGGUAGGGGGGGGUAGAAUUCCAGGUGUAGCGGUGAAAUGCGUAGAGAUCUGGAGGAAUACCGGUGGCGAAGGCGGCCCCCUGGACAAAGACUGACGCUCAGGUGCGAAAGCGUGGGGAGCAAACAGGAUUAGAUACCCUAGUAGUC
RNAcentral lists this ribosomal RNA (466 nucleotides) under uncultured Klebsiella sp. RNAcentral describes it as "bacterial SSU rRNA". It matches the Rfam family "Bacterial small subunit ribosomal RNA", at positions 338 to 795 of the family's 1533-position model. The record is from RNAcentral. Lineage: Bacteria; Pseudomonadati; Pseudomonadota; Gammaproteobacteria; Enterobacterales; Enterobacteriaceae.